CUAACCAGUUAACAAGGGGAUUCAGCUCAUCAGCUGCAGACUUUUAAAUAAGACAGGAAGGAAGAGGGAGAAGGCUGGAAAGAAGGGCAAAGCAGUUCAGGUUCUCAGAGGAAGCUGACAAGACUUUUGAAUUCCAUUGUAUAGGAGGACCCUGAAGGGGGAAGGAAAGAGUGGUAAGGUACAAAUGCUGUGCAAGAAGCUUUGCAAAUAUAACAGACGAACAAGGAAUGCUGUGGAAAAAUUGUGCAAUGAGUCCAUGACAAUUCCAGAUAAUGACACUAGUCGAUGACAUUUCAUAACAACUUCACCUGCUGUACAUGUUUCUACAAAAAUAUAUGAUGCACCCUUGUUAUCAGGACCCUUGUUAUCAGGCU
Molecule: long non-coding RNA, 374 nt
Organism: Mauremys reevesii (Reeves's turtle)
Lineage: Eukaryota; Metazoa; Chordata; Testudines; Geoemydidae
Exons: 3
Source: RefSeq, a predicted model, not a curated record